This 259-nucleotide ribosomal RNA is filed under the name uncultured bacterium. RNAcentral describes it as "partial small subunit ribosomal RNA". It matches the Rfam family "Bacterial small subunit ribosomal RNA", at positions 26 to 287 of the family's 1533-position model. The record is from RNAcentral.
AGAUUGAACGCUGGCGGCGUGCUUAACACAUGCAAGUCGAGCGGUAACGCGGGAGCAAUCCUGGCGACGAGCGGCGAACGGGUGAGUAAUGCUUGGGAAUCUGCCCAUUAGUGGGGAACAACCAGCCGAAAGGUUGGCUAAUACCGCAUACGCCCUACGGGGGAAAGCGGGGGAUCGAAAGACCUCGCGCUAAUGGAUGAGCCCAAGUCGGAUUAGCUUGUUGGUAGGGUAACGGCCUACCAAGGCGACAAUCCGUAGC